This 215-nucleotide unclassified non-coding RNA is filed under the name Ascochyta medicaginicola var. macrospora. RNAcentral's name for it is "partial internal transcribed spacer region". The stretch from base 1 to 46 matches the Rfam family "Eukaryotic small subunit ribosomal RNA", at positions 1786 to 1831 of the family's 1831-position model. Lineage: Eukaryota; Fungi; Ascomycota; Dothideomycetes; Pleosporales; Didymellaceae. The record is from RNAcentral.
AAGUCGUAACAAGGUUUCCGUAGGUGAACCUGCGGAAGGAUCAUUACCUAGAGUUUGUGGGCUUUGCCCGCUACCUCUUACCCAUGUCUUUUAAGUACUUACGUUUCCUCGGCGGGUUCGCCCGCCGACUGGACAAAAUUAAACCCUUUGCAGUUGCAAUCAGCGUCUGAAAAACAUAAUAGUUACAACUUUCAACAACAGAUCUCUUGGUUCUG